CUCUGAUGACCUGGGCAGGGACUCUGCUUCGCAGACGCAGUGUCGAUCUAAUCUUGAGCGCAAGUUUCGUUUUUGGAGAUUGUCAAGGUGACACCCUCGGGGACUCCGUUUCCUUUUACAGUCUCCUGCCGACAUAUUGUUCCCUGUUGAACACCAGAGAUCCUAACUGUGGUCUGGGCUAUAGACUCUGAUGGGGAAUCUUCAGCUAUUCUCUGCUUAAUGAAGGAGAUUUUGAACAUACACGGACUCCAAUUCAGGUUAGUUGCCCAACCUAACCUUAAACUUGAGCUCCUCUUGCCUCAGCCUUCCAGUUGCUGGGACUGUAG
This 326-nucleotide long non-coding RNA is filed under the name Cricetulus griseus (Chinese hamster). RNAcentral describes it as "lncRNA (ENSCGRG00015042633.1)". Lineage: Eukaryota; Metazoa; Chordata; Mammalia; Rodentia; Cricetidae. The record is from RNAcentral.